AAGUCGUAACAAGGUUUCCGUAGGUAGGUGAACCUGCAGAAGGAUCAUUAACACGUAUCCAACGUUAAAACAACCCCGUGAACUUUCAGCUUGCUCCUGUAGCCCGUGAAAGCAGCAAUCCCUGGUAAAUCAUUGUUGACCAGCUUUUGAGUCAGGGACCUCUACGGUUGAGCGAUUGCACCUAGUGACCUGGCAUCCCAAGUGAUGGCGCAGUCACGAUCGCUGUAGGCCCACACGGCCGGUCACCGGGCUCUGCUCCUUUACGAUAACUUCGCCGCGCGUGAAAUUCGCACGCAAUGGAUAUCUUGGUUCUC
This 314-nucleotide unclassified non-coding RNA is filed under the name fungal sp. Its description in RNAcentral is "partial internal transcribed spacer region". Lineage: Eukaryota; Fungi. The record is from RNAcentral.